Molecule: non-coding RNA, 757 nt
Filed under: Pongo abelii (Sumatran orangutan)
Lineage: Eukaryota; Metazoa; Chordata; Mammalia; Primates; Hominidae
Source: RNAcentral
GAGAAUUGAUCCAAUGACUGCUGGCGUGUAGACUGAAUUGUGAUGGAACAUCUCAUCAUACCUGCUCCUCAUUCCCUUUUCUGCCAACGAUUUAUCUUCAGAAGACAAGCAGAUGAGGAGACAAAACCUACUGAUGUGGGUACCCAAGCAGGAACCCCCCUCUUGCACCGGCGACUCACGUGAGAAGAAGAAUUCACUGAGCUGAAAUGGAGUGAGAGCUAAGAUGCUCUCAGAAUAUUCUUAAAAUGACUGUGCUGCAAAGAAGCCUGGGUGAGUAGAAGAAAAUAAAAGGAAUGGUGGAUACAAGUGAAGGUUAAAAUGAGACCCCAUUUAUCGCACUAGCUGUUGGUGAUUUGAGCGCUCCUUUCCAAGGCUCUUGAGAGUGCUACUCUAACAACACUGCCCCCUAGUGUUCUCUCGCUUUGGUGCAACUGCAGAUUUCUCAUACUUUAUGGAGAAAUAGAAGGCACCAGAUGACAGCCACCACACACUUUUGUCCCCAUUGCAAUAGGAUGCUUCUAACAAUCGUAAAAUUAUGAAACACUGAAUUCCUUAAAAGUUGUCCAUUUGUGGAUUUAUCUGACGGUAACUAUUAAAUAUUUAAAAGUACUUUAAUGAAUCUACUCAUGAUGAUUGAGUAAUCUAUUCUCUGAAUUCCACCAAAAAAUCAUUUUAUGACCAAAGUCAUAACGAACAUAUUUCUAUAGUCCUAAGCUGGCAAGAUAAAUAGAGAUCUGUUCAUAAUAUAAACAAUAUA